Cricetulus griseus (Chinese hamster) is the source of this 366-nucleotide non-coding RNA. NCBI's taxonomy places the organism in Eukaryota, Metazoa, Chordata, Mammalia, Rodentia, Cricetidae. The record is from the annotation of a RefSeq genome assembly.
AUGGCCUGGACUCCUCUCCUCUUCUUCCUCCUUCAUUGCACAGGGUCUUUCUCUCAACCUGUGUUGACUCAGUCACCCUCUGCUUCUGCCUCCCUAAGAAGCUCAGUCAAACUCACCUGCACCCUGAGUAGUGAGCACAGCAGCUAUACCAUUAAUUGGUACCAGCAACAUCCAGACAAGGCUCCCAAGUAUGUGAUGUAUCUUAAGAGUGAUGGAAGCCACAGCAAAGGAGAUGGGAUCCCCGAUCGCUUCUCUGGCUCCAGCUCUGGGGCUCAUCGCUACUUAAGCAUCUCCAAUGUCCAGUCUGAAGAUGAUGCUACCUAUUUCUGUGGUGCAGAUUAUAACAUUGCUGGACAAUUUGGGUGA